This 428-nucleotide ribosomal RNA is filed under the name Bacteroidota bacterium. Its description in RNAcentral is "Bacteroidetes bacterium partial 16S ribosomal RNA". It matches the Rfam family "Bacterial small subunit ribosomal RNA", at positions 355 to 776 of the family's 1533-position model. The record is from RNAcentral. Lineage: Bacteria; Pseudomonadati; Bacteroidota.
UAGGGAAUCUUCGGCAAUGGGGGGAACCCUGACCGAGCAACGCCGCGUUAGUGAAGAAGGUUUUCGGAUCGUAAAGCUCUGUUUUAAGGAAGAACGAGUGUGAGAAUGGAAAGUUCAUACUGUGACGGUACUUAACCAGAAAGGGACGGCUAACUACGUGCCAGCAGCCGCGGUAAUACGUAGGUCCCGAGCGUUGUCCGGAUUUAUUGGGCGUAAAGCGAGCGCAGGCGGUUAGAUAAGUCUGAAGUUAAAGGCAGUGGCUCAACCAUUGUAGGCUUUGGAAACUGUUUAACUUGAGUGCAGAAGGGGAGAGUGGAAUUCCAUGUGUAGCGGUGAAAUGCGUAGAUAUAUGGAGGAACACCGGUGGCGAAAGCGGCUCUCUGGUCUGUAACUGACGCUGAGGCUCGAAAGCGUGGGGAGCGAACAGG